This is a long non-coding RNA of Octopus sinensis (East Asian common octopus), 97 nucleotides long. RefSeq lists it as uncharacterized. NCBI's taxonomy places the organism in Eukaryota, Metazoa, Mollusca, Cephalopoda, Octopoda, Octopodidae. The record is from RefSeq and is a predicted model, not a curated record. The transcript has 3 exons.
UUCUCAUAUAUUUUCUUUUACACUAGUAUGUAGCUUUUAAGCAACUAACCCCAAAGGGGAAAAUCUGCAGACAGAUCUCUGACUUGUUUUGGAGAAU